CCAGGACUUAUCAGCUGGCAUAGGCCUCAUUCACAAGACACCUCUGUAUUUGGAAGACAGCCUGACAGGUUUCUCCGGAAAAGUGGCCAUCCAUGGAAUGAAUGAAAUGUUCCCUUUCUAUUCCAGAACUUGACAGGACCUGCUUGAAUGUGGCCACACUCAAGAGUGACUGGAUCUGUCCUGACAAGGUUCCAGCCGCUAGUUCUUAGUCCUCAUUCUGCAGCACUUUCUUCAUACUUCAGUUUUGAGUGGUGCCCAAAAUCUGAAAAUUAUAUACAUUUCUCUGAAAAUCACUUAUUGCUCUGCAGAAAACAAAGAGGAUAACAUCAAGUUAAUUUACGUUUAUACAAUAGUAUAGAU
This 360-nucleotide long non-coding RNA is filed under the name Equus asinus (donkey). RNAcentral describes it as "lncRNA (ENSEASG00005033048.1)". The stretch from base 57 to 125 matches the Rfam family "SOX2 overlapping transcript exon 2". The record is from RNAcentral. Lineage: Eukaryota; Metazoa; Chordata; Mammalia; Perissodactyla; Equidae.